UACGUAGGGGGCCAGCGUUGUUCGGAAUUACUGGGUGUAAAGGGUUCGUAGGCGGUGUGGCAAGUUGGGAGUGAAAUCUCUGGGCUCAACCCAGAGACGGCUUCCAAAACUGCCGUGCUUGAGUGUGGGAGAGGCUCGUGGAAUUGCAGGUGUAGCGGUGAAAUGCGUAGAGAUCAUGAGGAAGACCAGUGGCGAAGGCGGGUCUCUGGACAGUUCCUGACACUGAGGCACGAAGGCCAGGGGAGCAAACGGG
RNAcentral lists this ribosomal RNA (253 nucleotides) under uncultured bacterium. RNAcentral describes it as "partial 16S ribosomal RNA". It matches the Rfam family "Bacterial small subunit ribosomal RNA", at positions 524 to 776 of the family's 1533-position model. The record is from RNAcentral.